Molecule: ribosomal RNA, 250 nt
Filed under: uncultured bacterium
Lineage: Bacteria
Description: partial 16S ribosomal RNA
Rfam family: Bacterial small subunit ribosomal RNA
Source: RNAcentral
UACGUAGGCAGCAAGCGUUGUUCGGAAUUACUGGGCGUAAAGAGUGCGUAGGCGGUGCUCUAAGUUUGGUGUGAAAUCUCCCGGCUCAACUGGGAGGGUGCGCCGAAAACUGGAGUGCUUGAGUGUGGGAGAGGAAAGCGGAAUUCCUGGUGUAGCGGUGAAAUGCGUAGAUAUCAGGAGGAACACCUGCGGUGUAGACGGCUUUCUGGACCACGACUGACGCUGAGGCACGAAAGCGUGGGGAGCAAAC